Molecule: small RNA, 733 nt
Filed under: Pongo abelii (Sumatran orangutan)
Lineage: Eukaryota; Metazoa; Chordata; Mammalia; Primates; Hominidae
Description: retained intron
Source: RNAcentral
GCAGCCUUUCCAUGGCCCAUGCUGAAGUACAGUGGUGCUGUUACUGCUCACUGCAGCCUCUACCUCCCAGGCUCAAGUGGUUCUCUCAGCCCAGCCUCCUGAGUAGCUGGGACCACAGGCAUGCAGCGUGACACCUGGCUAAUUUUUUAAUUCUUUUGUAGAGACAGGAGUCUCUCUAUGUUGUCCAGGCUGGUCUCAAACUCCUAAGCUCAAUCAGUCCUCCCACCUCGCCCUCCCAAGAUGCUGGGAUCACAGGCGGGAGUCGCCGCGCCUGGCCUAACUUGCUUUUUUUUCUAUUAUGAAUGUAGUAACACAAGCGGGAGAGGGAAUUUAGAAAUGGAACCCGAGUCGGGGGGAGAAGGUGGCAGCUCCCAUUCUUGGGGCAUUUCCGUGGCCUGUCUGGGCCAUAGCUGCCCCGUGGUGACCUCUCCACUUGCGACUGUUUGUCCACUGCCUGGCAGGGGUGGGACCUGGCUGCACGGAUGAGACGCUGCUGUCGGCCAUCGCCAGCGCCCUGCACACUAGCACCAUGCCCAUCACGGGACAGCUCUCGGCCGCCGUGGAGAAGAACCCUGGCGUGUGGCUCAACACCACGCAGCCCCUGUGCAAAGCCUUCAUGGUGACCGACGAGGACAUCAGGAAGCAGGAAGAGCUGGUGCAGCAGGUGCGGAAGCGCCUGGAGGAGGCGCUGAUGGCCGACAUGCUGGCGCACGUGGAGGAGCUGGCCCGUGAC